This 338-nucleotide unclassified non-coding RNA is filed under the name soil metagenome. Its description in RNAcentral is "partial contains 5.8S ribosomal RNA, internal transcribed spacer 2, and large subunit ribosomal RNA". The stretch from base 1 to 120 matches the Rfam family "5.8S ribosomal RNA", at positions 35 to 154 of the family's 154-position model. The record is from RNAcentral.
GAUGAAGAACGUAGCGAAAUGCGAUAAGUAAUGUGAAUUGCAGAAUUCAGUGAAUCAUCGAAUCUUUGAACGCACAUUGCGCCCGCCAGCAUUCUGGCGGGCAUGCCUGUUCGAGCGUCAUUUCAACCCUCAAGCUCUGCUUGGUGUUGGGGCCCUACGGUUGACGUAGGCCCUUAAAGGUAGUGGCGGACCCUCUCGGAGCCUCCUUUGCGUAGUAACUAACGUCUCGCAUUGGGAUUCGGAGGGACUCUUGCCGUAAAACCCCCAAAUUUUCUAAUGGUUGACCUCGGAUCAGGUAGGAAUACCCGCUGAACUUAAGCAUAUCAAUAGGCGGAGGA